GAUGAACGCUGGCGGCGUGCUUAACACAUGCAAGUCGAACGGUGAAGGAGGAGCUUGCUCUUCUGGAUCAGUGGCGAACGGGUGAGUAACACGUGAGCAAUCUGCCCUUGACUCUGGGAUAACAGUUGGAAACAGCUGCUAAUACCGGAUACGAGACGUGACCGCAUGGUCAACGUCUGGAAAGAACUUCGGUCAAGGAUGAGCUCACGGCCUAUCAGCUAGUUGGUGAGGUAAUGGCUCACCAAGGCGACGACGGGUAGCCGGCCUGAGAGGGUGACCGGCCACACUGGGACUGAGACACGGCCCAGACUCCUACGGGAGGCAGCAGUGGGGAAUAUUGCACAAUGGGCGAAAGCCUGAUGCAGCAACGCCGCGUGAGGGACGACGGGCCUUCGGGUUGUUAACCGUACUUUAGUCUAAGGAAGAAGCGAAAGUAGACGGUACUGUCAGAAAAGACGACCGGCUAACUACGUAGCCAGCAGCCGCGGUAAACG
RNAcentral lists this ribosomal RNA (494 nucleotides) under uncultured bacterium. RNAcentral's name for it is "bacterial SSU rRNA". It matches the Rfam family "Bacterial small subunit ribosomal RNA", at positions 28 to 527 of the family's 1533-position model. The record is from RNAcentral.